RNAcentral lists this long non-coding RNA (366 nucleotides) under Trifolium pratense (red clover). RNAcentral describes it as "long non-coding RNA (TPRA_LNC011601)". The record is from RNAcentral. Lineage: Eukaryota; Viridiplantae; Streptophyta; Magnoliopsida; Fabales; Fabaceae.
CUCAUACCCACAACUCAAAAGCCAAAAUAAAAAAAAAAAUUAAACCCAGAAAUCAGAUAACAAGAUCAAGCAACAUUAAGAAAACAAAAAUCAAACCCAAAAAUCUAAAACACAACAACCUCAAGAAUUUGUUCUCAAAUUUUGUAAACAUAUUUAGUCAACCUACAACCUAAUCUUGUUACUAAUUUAUGCAAUCAACCUAAUCUCCUUUUACAAAUCACCCUAACCACGCCACACUCCCGUUUUCCUCAAAACCCAGAACCUUCCAAGUUCCAACAUAGACCCAAAAAAUUUCUGGAUUAUGAUUUUUUUGGGGUUUGAGGUUGAAGAAAGGUGGAAGGGGAACACAAUGAAAGUACAAUAUUG